GCAGUGGAGGUUCAGUGGUACAAUUCUUGCCUUCCAUGCAGGAGACCCAGGUUUGAUUCCCAGCCAAUGUA
RNAcentral lists this transfer RNA (71 nucleotides) under Loxodonta africana (African savanna elephant). It matches the Rfam family "tRNA". Rfam says of the family: Transfer RNA (tRNA) molecules are approximately 80 nucleotides in length. Their secondary structure includes four short double-helical elements and three loops (D, anti-codon, and T loops). Lineage: Eukaryota; Metazoa; Chordata; Mammalia; Proboscidea; Elephantidae. The record is from Rfam by way of RNAcentral.